CCUACGGGCGGCAGCAGUGGGGAAUAUUGGACAAUGGGGGCAACCCUGAUCCAGCCAUGUCGCGUGUGUGAAGAAGGCCCUCGGGUUGUAAAGCACUUUCAGUGAGGAAGAACGCCUGGUGGUUAAUACCCAUCAGGAAAGACAUCACUCACAGAAGAAGCACCGGCUAACUCCGUGCCAGCAGCCGCGGUAAUACGGAGGGUGCGAGCGUUAAUCGGAAUUACUGGGCGUAAAGCGCGCGUAGGUGGCUUGAUAAGCCGGUUGUGAAAGCCCCGGGCUCAACCUGGGAACGGCAUCCGGAACUGUCAAGCUAGAGUGCAGGAGAGGAAGGUAGAAUUCCCGGUGUAGCGGUGAAAUGCGUAGAGAUCGGGAGGAAUACCAGUGGCGAAGGCGGCCUUCUGGACUGACACUGACACUGAGGUGCGAAAGCGUGGGUAGCAAACAGGAUUAGAUACCCCUGUAGUC
This 465-nucleotide ribosomal RNA is filed under the name Vreelandella stevensii. Its description in RNAcentral is "partial 16S ribosomal RNA". It matches the Rfam family "Bacterial small subunit ribosomal RNA", at positions 338 to 795 of the family's 1533-position model. The record is from RNAcentral. Lineage: Bacteria; Pseudomonadati; Pseudomonadota; Gammaproteobacteria; Oceanospirillales; Halomonadaceae.